RNA transcript from Microplitis mediator, 10007 nucleotides. It is a transcript of the gene named calcium-transporting ATPase sarcoplasmic/endoplasmic reticulum type, with no coding region annotated. NCBI's taxonomy places the organism in Eukaryota, Metazoa, Arthropoda, Insecta, Hymenoptera, Braconidae. The record is from RefSeq and is a predicted model, not a curated record. The transcript has 12 exons.
AUCUACGGCGCCCCGUUUCGCUCAGCAGCGCAGGCGUUGCCGUAUCAUCAUUUUUUUCACGAUUUAUUAAUUUACAUGUUUACUUAACUAAUUUAAAUAUUUCGCAUUCAUUUUAUUCAAAUAGUCUCAGUUUAUUUAUUCUUUACUCCACGAUGUCGAGACUUGUCUGACGGGGUUUUUUUUAAAUUUAUAAUUGACAAAGUGCUAAUUAAGUGUCUAAGAUUUUUAAUAAUCGAGUUAAUGAACACAAACUUCUGAGGGACAAAAUAAAUCAGUAAUUAAUAAAGAGAGGAAAAAAAUAAUAGAGAUGGAAGACGCCCACUGUAAAACUGUGGACGAGGUGUUGAACUACUUCAACUGUGAUCAGGAAAAAGGAUUAACACCGGACCAGGUUAAGAGGAACCAGGAAAAAUAUGGUCUCAAUGAAUUGCCGGCUGAGGAGGGAAAAAGUAUUUGGCAACUCGUUUUGGAACAAUUCGAUGAUCUUUUAGUUAAGAUUUUACUGUUAGCUGCUAUUAUUUCUUUCGUAUUAGCUUUAUUUGAAGAGCACGAUGACGCGUUCACAGCAUUCGUGGAGCCCUUCGUCAUCUUACUUAUCCUUAUCGCUAACGCCGUGGUCGGUGUGUGGCAAGAACGUAACGCCGAGUCGGCCAUCGAAGCUCUCAAGGAGUACGAGCCAGAGAUGGGUAAAGUUGUCCGUGCCGACAAAUCCGGAGUCCAGCGGAUUCGCGCCAAGGAAAUCGUACCCGGUGACAUCGUUGAGGUGUCGGUGGGUGACAAGAUCCCUGCCGAUAUCCGUCUGAUUAAAAUUUUCUCGACAACUCUCAGGAUCGAUCAGUCCAUCUUGACCGGAGAGUCGGUGUCAGUAAUAAAACACACUGACGCUAUUCCCGACCCCCGAGCUGUUAACCAGGACAAAAAGAACAUCCUGUUCUCCGGAACCAACGUUGCCGCAGGUAAAGCCCGUGGUGUCGUAAUGGGAACUGGUCUUAACACCGCCAUCGGUAAAAUCCGUGUUGAAAUGUCUGAGACUGAAGAAAUCAAGACUCCCCUGCAACAGAAAUUGGACGAGUUCGGUGAACAAUUGUCUAAAGUCAUCACCGUCAUCUGUAUCGCCGUAUGGGCCAUCAACAUCGGUCACUUCAAUGACCCAGCUCACGGAGGUUCCUGGAUCAAGGGCGCCAUCUACUACUUCAAGAUCGCCGUAGCUUUGGCCGUCGCUGCCAUCCCCGAAGGUCUUCCCGCCGUAAUCACGACUUGUCUGGCUCUCGGUACCCGUCGUAUGGCCAAGAAGAACGCAAUCGUACGAUCACUUCCCUCUGUCGAAACUCUGGGAUGUACAUCAGUCAUCUGCUCCGACAAAACCGGUACUCUGACCACCAACCAAAUGUCCGUCAGCCGCAUGUUCGUCUUCGAGAGGAUCGAGGGUAACGACAGCAACUUCAACGAGUUCGAAAUCACCGGAUCCACUUACGAGCCCAUCGGUGACGUCUAUCUCAAAGGCCAGAAAGUAAAGGGAGCCGAAUUUGAAGCACUCCACGAGCUCGGAACAAUCUGCAUCAUGUGUAACGACUCCGCCAUCGAUUUCAACGAAUUCAAACAGGCCUUCGAGAAAGUCGGCGAGGCCACCGAGACUGCCCUGAUCGUUCUUGCCGAGAAAAUAAACCCCUUCGGCGUACCCAAGACUGGAUUGGACAGACGUACCGCUGCCAUCGUCGUCCGACAAGACAUUGAAACAAAAUGGAAGAAAGAAUUCACUCUGGAAUUCUCCCGGGACCGUAAAUCCAUGUCAUCUUACUGUGUCCCACUCAAACCCUCCAAGCUUGGAACUGGACCUAAACUCUUCGUCAAAGGAGCACCCGAAGGAGUACUCGAAAGAUGUACGCACGCACGUGUUGGUACCAGCAAAGUUCCUCUCACUUCAACCCUCAAGAAUCGCAUCCUCGAUCUCACUCGCCAAUACGGUACUGGACGCGACACCCUCCGUUGUCUGGCUCUCGCUACUUCUGACCACCCAAUGAAACCCGACGAAAUGGACCUUGGAGACUCGAACAAAUUCCACCUCUACGAAAGAGACCUCACGUUCGUUGGAGUCGUCGGUAUGUUGGACCCCCCGCGUAAAGAAGUUUUCGACUCAAUCGUUCGAUGCCGCGCUGCUGGUAUCCGUGUCAUUGUUAUCACUGGUGACAACAAAGCCACCGCAGAGGCCAUCUGCAGACGUAUUGGAGUCUUCGGUGAAGAUGAAGACACCACCGGUAAAUCCUACUCUGGUCGUGAGUUCGACGACUUGCCUAUUGCCCAACAGAGAGAAGCUUGCGCACGUGCCCGGCUAUUCUCACGUGUCGAACCUGCUCACAAAUCAAAGAUCGUUGAAUACUUGCAGAGCAUGAAUGAAAUCUCAGCUAUGACUGGUGAUGGUGUAAACGACGCGCCUGCAUUGAAAAAAGCCGAAAUCGGUAUCGCCAUGGGUUCAGGUACUGCUGUAGCUAAAUCAGCAUCAGAGAUGGUACUAGCUGACGAUAAUUUCUCGUCCAUUGUUGCUGCUGUUGAGGAGGGUCGUGCCAUUUACAAUAACAUGAAACAAUUCAUCCGUUAUCUUAUCUCUUCCAACAUCGGUGAAGUCGUCAGUAUUUUCUUGACUGCCGCCCUUGGUCUUCCUGAGGCUCUUAUCCCAGUCCAACUUCUCUGGGUAAAUCUCGUAACUGAUGGUCUUCCAGCCACCGCCCUUGGAUUCAAUCCACCUGAUCUCGACAUCAUGGACAAGCCACCACGUAGAGCCAACGAAUCAUUGAUCUCUGGUUGGUUGUUCUUCCGUUACCUCGCUAUUGGUGGUUACGUCGGUGCUGCUACCGUUGGAUCUGCUGCCUGGUGGUUCAUGUACAGUCCUAAUGGACCUCAACUUAGUUACUACCAACUGACUCAUCACUUGGCUUGCAUUGGAGGCGGUGAUGAAUUCAAAGGCGUAAACUGUAAAAUAUUCACAGACCCCCACCCCAUGACAAUGGCAUUGUCUGUACUUGUAACUAUUGAAAUGUUGAACGCAAUGAACAGUUUGUCUGAGAACCAGUCAUUGAUCACCAUGCCCCCAUGGUCGAAUAUGUGGCUCAUUGCCUCCAUGGCACUUUCAUUUACACUUCACUUCGUUAUUCUUUACGUUGAAGUUCUUUCGUCUGUGUUCCAAGUAACUCCCUUGUCUGGAGACGAGUGGAUAACAGUAAUGAAGUUCUCAAUACCAGUGGUGCUGCUCGACGAGACCCUCAAGUUCAUCGCUAGAAAAAUAACAGAUGGUGAGAAUCCCCUUUACACCGUUCACGGGAUCAUUCUUAUGUGGGCCGUAUUCUUUGGACUGUUACUUUACGGCCCAAUUUAGAUAACCAUUAUUUUUUUUACAAACUUUUAUUAAUUUAAUUAAAACAAUAAUUAGCUUAAAACCAGCCACCAAUAGCUAAAAAAAUACAUGGAAAUUCGCAGGAAUUUCGGACUUGCUGCAUUUAUUAUUUUAAAACACCGGCUUGACAAAUUCACUCCCGAUUUUUUUAAGAGUUUGUACUUUUGUCUCCCCACCCGAUGCCCUCGUCGCAUGCGAUUGGUCAGUAGCCUUUUGAGUCGUACAAAAAACUUAAACAAUGCAUUUAACCUGACCCUUGUUGCCGUAAUGCGCAAAAAUUACAGAAACAAACAACAAAAUCGAGUGCCUUUGAUAAAAUAGUCGCACUCUGUUAUCUUUCUUCCGUUUUAUUGUUUCCCUUUAAUAGUAAAAUUGCCAAACAAUCGCACAAAACAUCUAAACAAUCCUUUGUUUAUACUGACUAAAAGCUUGCCGACAAUCACCGAUACCUUCUAAUGAAGCAUUUAAAUAUUUCGAGCGUACAAUUAUAUUAUUUAAUUAUAUUUAUAAUUAAUAACGAUUAAUAAUAAUUGUUAAUUAUUAUUAGUUACUACAAAUGUUGUAAAUAAUUUUAAAACAAAUGAAUAAAUAAUCGCGAGAAAUGCUGUACAUUGUUAGCUUAAAUAGUAAUUUAGCUUCUGAAUGAAAGAAUCGGUGAUGAUUAAUCAUCGUCAUCAUCGCAUGACCCAUUAAUUUAAUUUAUAAAAAUGAAAACAAUGAUUUUAACCUAAAAUGGAGUUGUGGAGUUGGCGUUAAUCUUCCGGAACAAAAGUAAUAAACAAAGCUUAUGCAUGUCAAGUCCUCAUUCUUGCGCCUUCCUGUUAAUCAACAAAUAAAAAUACAAUUAAUUGAUUAAUUGAUUGAUUAAUAAAUGAAUAAAUAAAAUAAAUGAUUAAAUUGAGACAAGGCAUUGAGGCGAUCGAGUGGUAAGUUGCGUUAACGCGAUAGGUAAUUUAUUAAUUUAUGAUUAAUCAUUAAUUAAUAAUAAAGAAUAUUAAUAAAUUAAUGAAAAUAAGAUACAUUGUAAUAAUUCAAUUAAUAUUCUUUAUUAAUAGAAAAAUUAAACAGAUUCUUUUAUAACGAAUCAGUUUGUUUUUGUUUUUUUUUUUUUCAAAUAUAUGAACAAUAGAUGAAACCCGUAAGUUCAUUCCACGUGUGUGUGUUUAUCCCAUUUUAUUUUUGUGUGUUAAUGCUUUAAUUAAGAAUUCAUUGUUAUUAUUAAGCCACUGAUUUAUAUUAUAUUAUAUCUAUAUACAUAUUAAUAUUAAUAUCAAUACAACAAUAGUAUAAUAUAAUAUAUAUAUAAAUAUAUUUGUGGGCGAGUCGUGCGCAUUUUUAGUCGCUCUCCUGCGUCGAGUUGUUAAUUUCACGAUCAUUAACCAUCGGUUUAUUUAUUUAUUAAUCAACUUUCGUAACUGCAUAUAUAUUUUAAUAAUUUUUGAAUCUGACUAGACGUAGGAAAUUUUUUAAAAAACCCGUCGCCAAAAUAUCGAGUCUUGACUUUUAAAAUUUAUAACCUAGAUGGAAUUAAUGUAGCUCAAUUUUUAUAUACAAUAAUUAUUGGAUUAAUAGAAGAUAAAAAGUAAUUAACUAUUGAUAAAUAUUAAUAUUAAUAUGAAGAUAUAAUUGAAUUGAUAGUUAAAAAAAAUAGAAAAUCCACUCUACAAUUUUUUAUAACCAACACAAGACUGAGGCGAGUGGUUAAUGUUAAAACAAUCAUGUGAAGAUACAAUAUGCAGAUAUAUAAAUAUAUAGAUAGAUAGUUAAUUAAUUAAUUGUAUUGUUAAUUAAUUAAUUAAUUAAUUUAUUUAUUAAUUAAUAGUUAAGGUGUUUGAGCAUAGACUAGUUUUAUUAAUCAUUACUUUUAAUGGCGCUCGUACUUUGUACAAUAAGAGUUUCAGGUUAAUUAAUAAUUGCACCGUUUUAUUAAUUUUGAUUAAUGGUUAUUAAUUAGUAGAAUUUCUACGUGAAAAAAUUUUAAAUUAAUAUCCAGAGGCUCAUUAAUUAAUUAACAAUUAAUAAUUACUAAUUUGAAGUUUCGAUUAAUGAUUAAUAGUAAAAACAUUUUAAUGGUAAUUAAUAAUUAAUUGUUAAUUAAAAUUAAUGAAUAAAUUUAAAUUAAAAAAAUUAAACAGAAAGUACACAUUAGAGUAAAAUUUAUGGUCUAGUACAAACUUCUUCCAGAGAGAGAAUGAACCUCGGCAUUGCCCCCACUACAUUUAAAUUUCAAACUGCGCAUGCGCAACAAAGAGUGGGGGAAUAUUUAGUGGCAGAGUGGGAGUAAAAACCGGAAAUACCCGAGGUCCACUCUCUCGCUUGGACAUUUUAUGAAAUUAACAAAACAAAAUGGCGCAACGGUGCAAGUAACCUACAAUUAAUGAUUAAUGAAUAAAAUAAUUAAUAAAUCAUCACAUUAAUCACGAUAAACUCGACGUAGGAAGCUAUUUAUAAAUAGUGUGAAUAAAAUGUGUGUUUUGUGUGUCCUAAUACCCCGAGCGCCAACAAAAUUGACCAAUCAUUUAUUUUUUUGUAGUUAAUACCAUUUAAUUAGAAAAAAAACCUAAUUAUUAAUUAUUAAUAACUGAUAAUUUAUAAUUAUAUUAUUUUAAAUACCCAUUCACACGCAUAUUUAUGUCAUUAAUGUUUUAAAAUGUCGUUUGCGUGUGAUGUUAAUUAUGUAUCGAAUCUUUCUCAUUACUAAUGAUUAAUAUAAAGAUUAAUCAUUCAAUUAAUUAUUAAUUUUGUAUCGUAAUAUAUAUCCAUUAGUAAUGAUUUAGAUAUAAUAGCAAGGAUUUUUAUUUUUAAUCAAUUUGUAAACCUUUUCGAUUUGAAUUAAUGAGUAAUUAUUUGUUAUUAAUAAAAAGGAAAUAUUAAUUAAUAAUAAUUGUGUCACAAUUCGUGUCUUUAAGUCACAAUCGGCCUACAUAAUUAUAAAAAAUAAAUAAAAAAAUAUAAUAAACAAUAAAUAUUAUUAAUUUUUAGUUAUUUAUUCAGUUGCAAUUAACGAGCAAAUUAUACGCUAAUUAAUUUUAAUUAAUUGACGAACUAAAAACGGGUUUUAGUAAAAUUUACGAAACGUAUUAAUUAGCAAUCGAAGAAAAACUGUCGAGUAAACAAUAAUAUUUACGACAGUAAUUAUUAUGAUGAAAACAAUUUUAAUGAUAAUGAUAAUUACGUAGUUUUUGCAUGAAGUGUUUAAGUUACCCCUGAAUGAUUACUCAGUGUUUAAUCGCUCGAGUCACCCCGUGUUUUUAUUCCAUUUAAAAAUGUAGCUUGUAAUAACAAGGUUUUUUUGCUGUUUUAACUCCCAUUCCAAUAAACUUUUUAUCUUCUGACGAUCGACGACAAUCAACAGCCGCAAUGCAAUGUUUCGCCACCAGUGAAACCAACGCAGUAAUCAACGCCCGGAUAAUUAUUGCGAGGGAGUAGAAAAAUAAAAUAAACAAAAUCUAAAAUAAAAUAAAAUAAAAUAAAAUAAAAACGAAAAUGUAAUUUAUAAAAAGCAUGUAUAUAAGAUAAUAAACUGGAGAAAAUGGAUAAAUGUCGAGGAGGAAAGACACCUGGUAAACAAGCUGUUGGAGAUAGGAUGACUCUGUAACUCUGAAGAUGGGAGAAAUAAAUAAAAUAGAAUAACGAGUUAAAUGUAUGUGUGUCUGAGUAAACGAGAAAACGAGUUGGAGAAAAGCGAGACGAAAAUUUCUAUUCCUAGUGACCGAUUACUUCAUUCUGGAGCUGUCUCUCCGCGCUACUCCUUUAUACACAUAUAUAUUUAUAUAUCUAUAUAUAUAAAUAUAUAUACUUCUGCUCGAGUGCAGGCAGGAAAGGGAAUUUGAAAAUAACCCGGAAAAGGAGAUUGGAAUAUUAGUAGAAUGAUAGAAAUAAAAUUGAAUAAACUCAAAAAUAAUAAUAAUAAUAAUUUUAAUAAUAAUAAGAGGGAUACUUUUAUUGAUAUAAUGCCUGAGAUUUCAUCUUGGAACCUCGGCUGUAGUAAAUAAAUCCAGUGUUACGUUUUUAAAAUGAAUUACUUUUUAAAAAAGACAUCGAAUUUAAAUCAGUGACAUUUUUUUUUAUUUAUUUACUCACAAGUUAAUAAAUAAUUUUAAUUAACUGUUAAUUAUUUAUAAAAAUUACUUAUCAAAAGUGUUAAUUGUAAUUAAUAAAUAAUUAAUUAUGAUUAAUACGAAGAAAUAUAAAUACUAAUUAACAUGAUACUGAAGUUAGCAGACGUCUAAUAAUUUUCGGAUUUUUUUUUAGACGAUAAAAAAUUUAAAAAAAAAUAUUUGAAAAAAUUGCACUUAUAGUUUUUUAAAUUUUCUGCAUGUGCAUAAUUUUAUUUUUAUUUUUUUUAAAUUAAGUCAUUGAAACAAAAAUUCAAAAGUUUUUAAAUGUCUGCUAAUUUCAGGGUCAUCUAAUUAACUGAGAUAAUAUUAAGACACUAAUCAAGACAUGUACGAACUAAAAGUACUAUUUCGAUCAGUUGUUCUGUUGCUGCUUUUAAUCCAGCCCAUGAUACCCGGGCUUAAAAAAAUAUAUAAAAACAAUGAGCUCAUUAACGUUGCCGCAAUUAUACUCUCAUUGGGCGUGCGAAAGACAACGGCUGUUACCGUAAACAAAACAACAAGAACAACAGGAUACCGAAAGUGGCUGCGUAUGAUCCUGAAGGCCAUUAUUUAACUGCUAACAGACCAACACCAUAGAGCUUACGGAGAAGCUUAACUACCGGGAAGCUUAACUAAUAUAUAAUAAUACCAGAAAGCUUAAACAAACGACAGCCUUGUUCAACAACUUACACCUUCAAGACUCUUGUCUCUAUACAAACCUAAUUUCGAUCGGUUGCGCUGUAAGAAAUUUCGGAGUUAACGCGGAUUAAAUCCCCAGUGGGUGACUGAAUAUUAAUUUAAUUCCCUUGGAAUAAGAUUCAGUCGAGAGAAGAGUUUCAAUUUUGAAACUAUUCCUGAUUGAACAACUGAAAUCAAGCGAAUUAAAAAUUUUAAUUCUGUUAUAUUCUGUCAAAUUCUGCAAAACAGAAUUCAACUGAAUUGAAAAUUUGAAUUUGAAUUAAAAAGAAUAAAAGCGAUUUAAAAAUUUCAAAUUCGUUUUAAUUCGGAUUCAGAACCAGAAAUCGGAGAAUUAUUUUCGAAUUAAUCAGAAUUAUUUAAAUUCGUUUUAAUUUUGACAAAUUCUGGUUUUCCCGCCGAAUUAAACAGAAUUCAUGUUUAAGUUAGCUACCGAAUUAACAGAAUUUAUCUGAAUUAAAUAGAAUUAAAAAUUUAAUUCUGUCGAAUUCUGCAAAACAGAAUUCAACUGAAUUGAAAAUUUGAAUUUGAAUUAAAAAGAAUGAAAGCGAUUUAAAAAUUUCAAAUUCGUUUUAAUUCGGAUUCAGAACCAGAAAUCGGAGAAUUAUUUUCGAAUUAAUCAGAAUUAUUUAAAUUCGUUUUAAUUUUGACAAAUUCUGGUUUUCCUGCUGAAUAAGACAGAAUUAUUCUUUAAUUUAGGUACCGAAUUAACGGAAUUUAUCUGAAUUAAAUAGAAUUAAAAAUUUAAUUCUGUUUAAUUCUGUCGAAUUCUGCAAAACAGAAUUCCACUGAAUUGAAAAAUUGAAUUUGAAUUAAAAAGAAUAAAAGCGAUUUAAAAAUUUCAAAUUCGUUUUAAUUCGGAUUCAGAACCAGACAUUGGAGAAUUAUUUUUUAAUUAAUCAGAAUUAAACCGAAUAGAAGUAUUUAAAUUCGUUUUAAUUCGGACGAAUUCUGGUUUUCCUGCCGAAUUAGACAGAAUUCAUUUUUAAUUUAGGUACCAAAUUAACAUAAUUAAAUAGAAUUAAAAAUUUAAUUCUGUUUAAUUCGAUCGAAUUCAGUUGUUUAAUCAGGGUACGGUUCGGAGUGGAAUUAAUUUCCACAGGAAGUUUAUUUUAAUAUUCAAACUCCGAAUCGGAGGAAAUUCGGAUUUAAAUAAAAUCCGUAAUUACUUCGAAUUUAUUCCCGAUUUUUUACAGUCGACUGAUUUAAUAUCCAAACAAUGCCUAGCUUUGUUACUAGAUUUACUACUUAUUCCACACCUUUUAAUCUCUUUACUUCUAUUUCUCUCUAUUCUUCUUUACUCUACUCUACUCUACUUUAUUCUAUUCUUCUCUAUUCUAUUAAUUCAUUUCUACUUUAAUUUUAAUCAUCAAUUAAUAAACAAUUUCAUUAAAACAAAACUCGAAUUCUAACCCUUCUCUUAAUCACCCGGCAUUUUGUUUAACCUUCCAGCCGCCAUCUUGUUAUUUAUUUUUUAAAAGUUAAAUUACUGUUGGUAAAGUAUGUACGUGUGCGUUCAUGUCUUGCGAGGUGAAUUUUAAAUAAUAAUAUUUAUUAUAAAAAUAAAAAAAUGAAAGUAAUACUUGAGGUUUUCGUCUACAGAGAGGUGUUUUAUUGUUAAAAAUAAAUAUAAAAUUGUAUAUAUAAUUAUGAUAUUAAUAAUUUAUUAUUGACUAUUGAUUAUUAAUAUUAUUAAUUGAAUUAUUCUAUGACGGGAUGUAUAGACAAAAAUUUAAUGCCGUCAUAAUUGAUACGAAUUGUAACAAAUUAUAAUUAUUAUAUUAAUUAUUUAUUAUUUAAAAUAAAAAUUAUAAAUUUAUAAA